This 253-nucleotide ribosomal RNA is filed under the name uncultured bacterium. RNAcentral describes it as "partial 16S ribosomal RNA". It matches the Rfam family "Bacterial small subunit ribosomal RNA", at positions 524 to 776 of the family's 1533-position model. The record is from RNAcentral.
UACGAAGGGGGCUAGCGUUGUUCGGAUUUACUGGGCGUAAAGCGCACGUAGGCGGCUCGUUAAGUCGGGGGUGAAAUCCUGGAGCUCAACUCCAGAACUGCCUUCGAUACUGGCGAUCUUGAGUCCGGAAGAGGUGAGUGGAACUCCUAGUGUAGAGGUGGAAUUCGUAGAUAUUAGGAAGAACACCAGUGGCGAAGACAGCUCACUGGUCCGGUACUGACGCUGAGGUGCGAAAUCUUGGGGAGCAAACAGG